This 525-nucleotide ribosomal RNA is filed under the name Triticum aestivum (bread wheat). Its description in RNAcentral is "partial small subunit ribosomal RNA". Lineage: Eukaryota; Viridiplantae; Streptophyta; Magnoliopsida; Poales; Poaceae. The record is from RNAcentral.
AUGCGGCCGUUUGGGCCCCCGGAAAUAAUAGCGUGGCACGAGCUCUUGGAUGCCAUCGCGCCCCACGAGCCGGAUCUUGAGUUGCCCCACGAUCGCCUAUCCUGGAGCUUAGAGCCCUCGGGCGCCAUCUCCACCAAGUCCUUAUACCGGGCCAUCGCGCCCACUCCCGGACCUGAGCCACUGGUGGCGAUCUGGUCGGUCAGACUCCCUCUGAAGAUCAGGAUCUUCCUUUGGCAAUGGAUCCGUGGACGUAUCCCAUCCAAAGUGGAGGUGUUAAAACGGAAUGGCCCGGGCGACGAGAUGUGCCCUCUGUGCGGGACGGUCGAAGAUUCCAACCACAUCUUCUCCUGUGUUUCAGCCCAGUUCCUCUGGAGCCGCCUCCGCAAGGUGGUCGGUGGUGUAAUACCAACUUCCCGAACCUCUUCGCCGAGAUCCAGGAAUCGCCCUUUUCUAGCCGUCACAUUAGGUGGCUCGCGAUCGGGGUCCUUGUCUGGACGUUGUGGACGGUUCAGAAUAAACUUGUGA